AUGACGUGCGUUGCACGUGCAAGUCUACUAGUCCCAUCAAUGAGCGAGGAGGGCGAGAUGAGCAGCCUCCGCCGCCGCCGCCGCUCACCGGCGGCAUCCCCGCUGGAAGACGACGACCUGCUCUCCGAGAUCCUGCUCCGCCUCCCCCCGCAGCCUUCCUCCCUCCCCCGCGCAUCCGUCGUCUGCAAGAGCUGGCGCCGCCUCGUCACAGAUCCCCAAUUCCGACGCCGCUUCCGCCUCCGCCACCGCCGCAACCCUCCCCUCCUCGGCUUCUUCAACCGAUUUGAUGGCCUCUCCUUCCAACCUACCCUGGACGCCCCUGACCGUGUUCCUCUCGGGCGCUUCCCCUUGCAGCGCGACGACGGCGACUACUUCGUCUCCCUCGGAUGCCGCCAUGGCCUCCUGCUCAUCUUCCUUCCGGAGCGUCUCCAGAUCCUUGUGUGGGAUCCCGUCACGGGCGACCAGCACCGCCUGACCAUUCCCCCGGUGGUCGCGGAACGCGCGGAGAAGAUUGGGAUCAGCGGGGCGGUGUAUCGCGCCGCCGGAGACGUCCAGCAGUUCCAGGUGUUCUUGGCAGUGACAGACGGCGACGGCCCGAAACACAGACGAGCGCUGGCCUGUGUUUAUUCCUCAAAGACCUGCUUAUGGGGGAAUCUCAUCUCCACACCCAUUCCGCACCAGGCUCAUGGAUCCCAGUUUUUCACCAUGGUUACCGGUGACGCUUUGCUGGCUGGAGAUUCCCUUUACUGGGUGCUUGCUGGGAAUUUGGAUGGAAUUCUCGAGUUUGAUUUGGAGAAGCAGAGUCUAGCUGUGAUACAGCCAGUGGAUGUGCGUGGCAGGCGCCACUUCAAGCUUAUGUGGGCAGAGGGCGGUGGGCUGGGUUUCCUCUUCAUAUCAGAAUCUGACCGCUACACCGCCCAAUUAUGGAAGAGGCUGACCGGCCGUGAUGCUAUUGCUUCAUGGGUGCUUGCAAGAACUAUUGAACUUGACAAGCUACUUUCCCUGAAUCCAGAGGAGGAAGAGCGCAUAGUGAUGCUAGGGUUUGUUGAAAACAACAAUGUGUUGUUGCUGUGGACGGUUGUUGGCGUCUUCACGAUCCAUCUCGAGUCAUUGAAGUUCAAGAAGCUUUUCAAAACUAUGCAAAUGUCUCACUAUCAUCCAUUCGAAAGUGUCUAA
RNAcentral lists this ribosomal RNA (1176 nucleotides) under Triticum aestivum (bread wheat). Its description in RNAcentral is "partial small subunit ribosomal RNA". Lineage: Eukaryota; Viridiplantae; Streptophyta; Magnoliopsida; Poales; Poaceae. The record is from RNAcentral.